GAUGAACGCUAGCUACAGGCUUAACACAUGCAAGUCGAGGGGAAACGAUAUUGGAAGCUUGCUUCCGAUAGGCGUCGACCGGCGCACGGGUGAGUAACGCGUAUCCAACCUGCCCACCACUUGGGGAUAACCUUGCGAAAGUAAGACUAAUACCCAAUGACGUCCAUAGAAGACAUCUGAAAUGGAUUAAAGAUUUAUCGGUGAUGGAUGGGGAUGCGUCUGAUUAGCUUGUUGGCGGGGUAACGGCCCACCAAAGCGACGAUCAGUAGGGGUUCUGAGAGGAAGGCCCCCUACAUUGGAACUGAGACACGGUCCAAACUCCUACGGGGGGCAGCAGGGAGGAAUAUUGGUCAAUGGGCGAGAGCCUGAACCAGCCAAGUAGCGUGCAGGAUGACGGCCCUAUGGGUUGUAAACUGCUUUUAUAAGGGAAUAAAGUGAGCCUCGUGAGGCUUUUUGCAUGUACCUUAUGAAUAAGGACCAGCUAAUUCCGUGCCAGCAGCCGCCGCGG
RNAcentral lists this ribosomal RNA (508 nucleotides) under uncultured bacterium. RNAcentral's name for it is "partial 16S ribosomal RNA". It matches the Rfam family "Bacterial small subunit ribosomal RNA", at positions 28 to 523 of the family's 1533-position model. The record is from RNAcentral.